GAGAAAUCUAUCUGUUUGAUAUUAAUUCAAAAUAAAUGACAAAAAGAGGCUUAUGAGGGGAGGACAGGGGUAAGGGAGACAGGGAGAAAGGGUUUAGGAGAAAGGGGUAGGAGAAAGGAGAAAAAGUUGGAGAAAAAAAUAAAAUAUGAAAAAAUAAAAUAUCUUUCUUUUUUCUGGUAAAUUAAAAAAAAAAUAAGGAGAAGAGGGGUAGGAGAAAGGAGAAGAGGGGUGGGAGAAGGGAGAAGGGUACCCCCUGUCCUGCCCCUC
RNAcentral lists this long non-coding RNA (267 nucleotides) under Mytilus galloprovincialis (Mediterranean mussel). Lineage: Eukaryota; Metazoa; Mollusca; Bivalvia; Mytilida; Mytilidae. The record is from RNAcentral.